RNAcentral lists this ribosomal RNA (253 nucleotides) under uncultured bacterium. RNAcentral describes it as "partial 16S ribosomal RNA". It matches the Rfam family "Bacterial small subunit ribosomal RNA", at positions 524 to 776 of the family's 1533-position model. The record is from RNAcentral.
UACGUAGGGUGCAAGCGUUGUUCGGAAUUACUGGGCGUAAAGGGCGCGUAGGCGGCCUGCUAAGUCGAACGUGAAAUCCCUCGGCUCAACCGGGGAACUGCGUCUGAUACUGGGUGGCUUGAAUCCGGGAGAGGGAUGCGGAAUUCCAGGUGUAGCGGUGAAAUGCGUAGAUAUCUGGAGGAACACCGGUGGCGAAGGCGGCAUCCUGGACCGGCAUUGACGCUGAGGCGCGAAAGCCAGGGGAGCAAACGGG